AGAGUUUGAUCCUGGCUCAGGAUGAACGCUGGCGGCGUGCCUAAUACAUGCAAGUCGAGCGAACGGACGAGAAGCUUGCUUCUCUGAUGUUAGCGGCGGACGGGUGAGUAACACGUGGAUAACCUACCUAUAAGACUGGGAUAACUUCGGGAAACCGGAGCUAAUACCGGAUAAUAUUUUGAACCGCAUGGUUCAAAAGUGAAAGACGGUCUUGCUGUCACUUAUAGAUGGAUCCGCGCUGGCAUUAGCUAGUUGGUAAGGUAACGGCUUACCAAGGCAACGAUGCAUAGCCGACCUGAGAGGGUGAUCGGCCACACUGGAACUGAGACACGGUCCAGACUCCUACGGGAGGCAGCAGUAGGGAAUCUUCCGCAAUGGGCGAAAGCCUGACGGAGCAACGCCGCGUGAGUGAUGAAGGUCUUCGGAUCGUAAAACUCUGUUAUUAGGGAAGAACAUAUGUGUAAGUAACUGUGCACAUCUUGACGGUACCUAAUCAGAAAGCCACGGCUAACUACGUGCCAGCAGCCGCGGUAAUACGUAGGUGGCAAGCGUUAUCCGGAAUUAUUGGGCGUAAAGCGCGCGUAGGCGGUUUUUUAAGUCUGAUGUGAAAGCCCACGGCUCAACCGUGGAGGGUCAUUGGAAACUGGAAAACUUGAGUGCAGAAGAGGAAAGUGGAAUUCCAUGUGUAGCGGUGAAAUGCGCAGAGAUAUGGAGGAACACCAGUGGCGAAGGCGACUUUCUGGUCUGUAACUGACGCUGAUGUGCGAAAGCGUGGGAUCAAACAGGAUUAGAUACCCUGGUAGUCCACGCCGUAAACGAUGAGUGCUAAGUGUUAGGGGGUUUCCGCCCCUUAGUGCUGCAGCUAACGCAUUAAGCACUCCGCCUGGGGAGUACGACCGCAAGGUUGAAACUCAAAGGAAUUGACGGGGACCCGCACAAGCGGUGGAGCAUGUGGUUUAAUUCGAAGCAACGCGAAGAACCUUACCAAAUCUUGACAUCCUUUGACAACUCUAGAGAUAGAGCCUUCCCCUUCGGGGGACAAAGUGACAGGUGGUGCAUGGUUGUCGUCAGCUCGUGUCGUGAGAUGUUGGGUUAAGUCCCGCAACGAGCGCAACCCUUAAGCUUAGUUGCCAUCAUUAAGUUGGGCACUCUAAGUUGACUGCCGGUGACAAACCGGAGGAAGGUGGGGAUGACGUCAAAUCAUCAUGCCCCUUAUGAUUUGGGCUACACACGUGCUACAAUGGACAAUACAAAGGGCAGCGAAACCGCGAGGUCAAGCAAAUCCCAUAAAGUUGUUCUCAGUUCGGAUUGUAGUCUGCAACUCGACUACAUGAAGCUGGAAUCGCUAGUAAUCGUAGAUCAGCAUGCUACGGUGAAUACGUUCCCGGGUCUUGUACACACCGCCCGUCACACCCACGAGAGUUUGUAACACCCCGAAGCCGGUGGAGUAACCUUUUAGGAGCUAGCCGUCGAAGGUGGGACAAAUGAUUGGGGUGAAGUCGUAACAAGGUAGCCGUAUCGGAAGGUGCGGCUGGAUCACCU
Molecule: ribosomal RNA, 1542 nt
Filed under: Staphylococcus aureus
Lineage: Bacteria; Bacillati; Bacillota; Bacilli; Caryophanales; Staphylococcaceae
Description: 16S ribosomal RNA
Rfam family: Bacterial small subunit ribosomal RNA
Source: RNAcentral